AAAAUUUUCUGUAAACUUUUCCUAGUUGUAUGGAGCAGUUUCUCAAUGUAUGGUCUGAUAGAGAGCUAUUAUAAGUAUCUACUCACUGGCAGAGUUGUGAAUAGAACAUAAACUUCUAACAUUUCCAGUCUCAUUUCCUAGAUUCAUUGGUUUUAUUUGUCUUAACAGAUUGCAACAAUGGAAGUCUUAGUUAAUCAUGAUGCCUGACAAAGAAAAUACAGACUAAAUAGUAGUUUUUAAAAAAAGUGUCUUUCAUAGCCAGUUCUUAUCUGAUUUUACUGAAACCGACUAUGUAAUUACAAAGGAACUAAGCCAUACUAUACAAACACAACUCAGUAAGAGAGGAAAGUAUCUAGUGCCUUCCUUUAAUACUAUCCCCCUCCCACCAUUUUGGAAAUAGCCUUAUGGAGCUGAGGGUCACCCAAGUGCCCUCUUGGAAUUCUCAGUUUUUCUCUUCCUUGCUUCAGCUGCUGUAUUUUGUAUGCCACAAAUUCUUGGAGGGAAAUAUAUGUUUUACUGACAUGUUUCCUACUAGCUUCAUGUUACAUAAAAAAAAAUGAAAAUAUAAUUAAGGGUUCGUGUUCUACACGUGCUUUACUUUGUCAUUACCUGAAAACAAGCUUUACCUUUGGAGUAUGGAUAAUAAUUUGACAAUUAUUUGGUCACAUGCUUUAAAUCUAAAAAAAAUUUGUAGCAAUUUUUCUUAUUUAUUUUUUACAGUCCGUAACUAUAACAGUGACAAAUUCCGACACGGCAAAUGACACUAUCAACAUGUUACUAACAAUGCUGGGAAUAACCGUAAGUUGCCUAUACUUCCAGCUGUGGGUGAGUUCUGGCAAGGAAAAACUUCCACUAACUGGUAAGUGUCAGGGAAAAUCUAAGAUGGGAUUGAUUAGGUUCAAAAUUGUAACUCAAAGUUUCAAAGUAAUGGUUGUUCUUUCUUAAGCUUCAAAAUCCUUAAAAGUGAAAAUCACAUGUUAUAUUCCCUCACAUGUUUAUUAAAUAAUUACCAGGUACUGUUUCCCAGGCAUUGAUAACAUCUCUUCAUUCAGCAGCUAUGAUUUAGUGAGGGAGAGAAAUGUAAAUUUUUGUUUCUACUUCUUGUUACCUGACAAACAGAGCUGUCUUGAAAAAGUGUGAUUAUUUACUAUUUACUUACUUAUUUACUCACUUAGGUAUGAAAGCAAAAUGGAUGGGAAUUUUUUUCCCAUACAUUUAUUUUUCAUAUUUCAAUCUUGAAUUCUAGUUCCUAACUACUAAGAAGCCUCUAUUUUGUGAGAAUCCUCUAAAAUCCAGUUAUGUCCCUGAAUCUGGUUACAGAUAUGUAUUUAACACCCCUGCCCUGUGCCCACUUUUCUCUGCAUCAUAAAGAAAAUGAGAUAAUCACAUUUAAACUCCU
This 1399-nucleotide long non-coding RNA is filed under the name Canis lupus familiaris (dog). RNAcentral's name for it is "lncRNA (ENSCAFG00845017795.1)". Lineage: Eukaryota; Metazoa; Chordata; Mammalia; Carnivora; Canidae. The record is from RNAcentral.